CAACCAGCAGCAAUGGACAAGCAGCCAAGGGCUGCAGCCACGAAGCUUUUUGGGGGACCCGCUGAGACCUGCGAGGAGGCAAUCCAGUUUCACCUGUGAUCCCUAAGGCAGGCAUUGGCAGAGUUCCUGGAUUGGCAAGUGAGUGAAGAGAAGCGACGCCUGGACUACCUGGAGAGGAGCGAAGCUGAGCGGUGCCACGUCAGGGCCAAGUUUGAGUGGCUGCGCCAGUUCCUGGUGGAGAAGGAGCAGGCAGUGCUGG
Molecule: long non-coding RNA, 259 nt
Organism: Falco peregrinus (peregrine falcon)
Lineage: Eukaryota; Metazoa; Chordata; Aves; Falconiformes; Falconidae
Exons: 3
Source: RefSeq, a predicted model, not a curated record